RNAcentral lists this long non-coding RNA (1762 nucleotides) under Chinchilla lanigera (long-tailed chinchilla). RNAcentral describes it as "lncRNA (ENSCLAG00000029314.1)". Lineage: Eukaryota; Metazoa; Chordata; Mammalia; Rodentia; Chinchillidae. The record is from RNAcentral.
CAAAAAUAAAAUCUGCAAGGGAGAAGCUGACAGUGGCAGGAAAGGAAGUGAGGGGCCUUUGCGAAAUCUGGAGCCAAGACAUGACCCAGAAUUCAGAGGAAAGGAAGAUGUGAGGAAGUAACCCUGCACUAUUCUUGUUCAGUUAACUUCUCCAACAGAGAAAAUUUGCACAGCUACAGAUUGUUGGAAUGCGGAAUGCUAAACAGAGUUGAGAGCUUACUUUCUGUUGGAAGUGUCUUAGUCCAUUCUGGCUGCUAUAACAAAACACCGUGGACUGGAUGGCUCACAGUCAACAGAUAACUUAUUUCUCCUAGUUCUGGAGGCUGAGAAAUCCAAGAUCAAGGUGCUGGUGAGAAGUCCAAGACGGAUGCAUGGUGAGGCCUGCUCCCUGGUUUGGGGAUGGCAUCUUCUUGUGUUUUCCCAUGGUAGAAGGAACAAGGGUCCCUUGGGGUUAUAUGGGCGUUUGCUCUGUCCAUGAGAAUUCUGCUCUCAUGACCUAAUCACCUCCCAAAGGCCCCAUCCCCUCUACCAUCAUCUUGGGGGGUUUAAAAUAUGAAUUUCGGGCUGGGUGCAAGCAUUCAGACCACAGUGGGAGGCACUGAUAUUGCGGGUGCCCCAAAUAUAUCCCACCCAGGGGAAGUUGUGCAAUACAUCUGAGAAAUUUUUAUGACCUGGGUUCCUUGAUACCACUACUCUUCUUUCAUUUCUCUUCUUUCCCCUUCCAUACUGGCUGCAUCUCUCAGUUUUUCAACACAGACUGGCCAUCCAGAACUUCCCUUCCUGAUAAUAUCUUCACUUUAAAUUUUCAAGUUUCUUUCCUCCUUCUUCAGAGCCCUGGUAGAAGGCUGACUGAGGAAGAUUGUUAAGAUGGCAGCGUGAUGUGGAGAUUUCCUGGGGAUUUCAAUUACCCAGCUUCCCCUACCCUUCAUGACAAAGGUUAAUCAUGAGGGGAAUGAAAACAACACACCGUCUGUUUCCAGUAAGUGUGCCGUGGCUGCGGACCCCCAGGCUUCCGGCUUAUGGCUUUGUCCUGAGGCACCGUCACAUCCUCCAUUUCCCCGAGUCUGGAGUGAGUACACUGUCUCAUUCUUAGCACAGAGAACUGUGAUCCUGUGGCAUAUACAAGAGAAGGUGUAUCCAAGAUUCGACUGGGAUGAAGGAAAGAAGAAAAAAGAAAGACAGACUGCAAAAUACCAAUAUAUAUAUGAAUAGCUGUGAUCACUGUAUUGCUGAUGUCUGAUGGUGUAUUGAAAUGAGCAGUUAAUGAUUACAAUUUUGUAGGGUCUGAUAGAUUGCGCAUGCUUGUGUCUGGUGGUCUGAGCAAGAGAUUUGAAGGUAACAAUAUGCAAUGGAAUUACAGUGUGAACUCCUACCAUCUUGUCUAGUGAAACUCUGUAUUAUCUCUACUGUUUUAUUGAAGAAUUGUUUUCUUAUUCCCUAUACUGGUUUGAGCAAUCUUUCAUUCUUACAUCUGGUAAUCUGAGCAAUGUAUUUGAGGAUAGGGAUAUGUAAUGUAACAACCAGUGUUGAUUCGUAUUAUUUUGUCUUGAGACUCUGUAUCACUUUGAAUGUUCUUGCUUUGAUUUGUUUAUGUUUGUGAUACUGGUACGCUGCUACUGUUCUAUGUCUUUCUUUGUUUCUCAUUUAAUACUCUUUAAAUAAAAAAAAAGUGUGUUUUUUAUAACUUAGCACUUCUCUUAUACACUUUAAAUCAUUUCUAACAUCACUACAGUGCCUUAUCUUAUAAUGUAAUACAUUACAG